Molecule: ribosomal RNA, 394 nt
Filed under: uncultured Anaeromyxobacter sp.
Lineage: Bacteria; Pseudomonadati; Myxococcota; Myxococcia; Myxococcales; Anaeromyxobacteraceae
Description: bacterial SSU rRNA
Rfam family: Bacterial small subunit ribosomal RNA
Source: RNAcentral
CGAGAAAGCCCGCAAGGGUGAGUAAAGCGGCGCACGGGUGCGUAACACGUGGGUAAUCUGCCCUGAAGUCCGGAAUAACUCGCCGAAAGGCGUGCUAAUGCCGGAUGAGACCACGGGAGCCUCGGCUCCUGCGGGAAAAGGUGGCCUCUGUAUACAAGCUAUCGCUUCAGGAUGAGCCCGCGGCCCAUCAGCUCGUUGGCGGGGUAAUGGCCCACCAAGGCUACGACGGGUAGCUGGUCUGAGAGGACGAUCAGCCACACUGGAGCUGAGACACGGUCCAGACUCCUACGGGAGGCAGCAGUGGGGAAUCUUGCGCAAUGGGCGAAAGCCUGACGCAGCAACGCCGCGUGUGUGAUGAAGGUCUUCGGAUCGUAAAGCACUGUCGCGAGGGACG